GGUGCUGGUGAUCUGUCUCUUCCAACCCUCUGCUUCUCAGCGGCGUCUUGCUGUUCAACGUUUCCAGCAAAAAGCUGCCCCAGCUUAGCCACAAGCCCCAACGUUUGUGGCGUGCCCCAGAGCAGUCCCAACACUGCGGCUGGUUCGCCACAAUUACCCUCAUUGCUCAGUCAAACCAGCUGAACACUGGACCCCGCUCAAUCCAGCUCUUUAAGAUUCGCCAGUGAUAUUUGGAUGCGAGGAAAGGCCUUGAGAGGGCAAGCCACCCCUGCAGCUAGUGCACAAUCAGUCUGCAAUCGGCAAGAAUUGACGUCAGAUUCUCUAUCUGCUUUCAGCGUAUUUGGGCCGGUCUCCAGCUAUCCCACUGGGCGCGUGGUUAGCCGAGGCUGGACGUAAUUUCAUUAAGAUCACAAAAUGUUACAAGUGAGUCAGUGCCUGAGCCCGGGUCACUGCCGGUGAUCGUCACAGGGAUAGCCACUGUCUGCUAGCAUUGAAUCAGGGAGCUGAUCAGGCGGUUAAUGAAAUGGCCUGGCAUGGAUCACCCAAGAAAAGAAGAUAUUAAAAUGGACAGGGUGGGAGGCAGAGUAUAACCUGACUGACAUCGUACGAGAGACAAGGGAUGGGAAUAAUACAGGCAACGCUCCCUGUGAAUAACUCCCCCAUGCCCCAAGAAAAGGACCCAACUUCCUACCAUACCAAA
Mauremys reevesii (Reeves's turtle) is the source of this 700-nucleotide long non-coding RNA. RefSeq lists it as uncharacterized. NCBI's taxonomy places the organism in Eukaryota, Metazoa, Chordata, Testudines, Geoemydidae. The transcript has 3 exons. The record is from RefSeq and is a predicted model, not a curated record.